UUUUAAUCUACUCAUAAUGCCAAUAAUGGAUGCCUAGGAGAUGUUGACCGAGGAAGGACGCAUACAGCGGCGAUACUCGUCGGGGAGGUGCUAUAGACCUGUGAUCCGGCGGUUUCCGAAUGGAGCAAUCCAAUCUUGUUAUGCAAGAUUAACCUUACAUAAAGUUAUAGUCGCAAGAUUAUAUAUAGUGUCUGGUGGGGUACGGCGUGAACUGAAACAUCUAAGUAACGCCAGGAAUAUAAAUCAUCUGAGAUUCCGUCAGUAGCGGCGAGCGAAAGCGGAACAGUCUAAACCACAAUUUAUUGUGGUGUUGCAGGGCAGACGAUAUUCGAUGUUAUUGUUUAUAGCAGAAGUGCUCGGAAUAGCACUCCAAAGAACGUGAAAGACGUGUAUGCGAAAUAAAAAGCACCGAUAGUUUGUACCUAAGUACCAUGGAGCACGAUAAAACUCUGUGGGAAUCCGGGACGGCCACGUUCCAAGACUAAAUAUCAACAUCUACCGAUAGUGAACUAGUACCGUGAGGGAAAGGUGAAAAGCACCCCGAGAGGGGGAUGAAAUAGAACUGAAAUUAUUGGCUAACAAGCAGACGGAGCGCAAGUGACGUCGUGCCUAUUGAAGAAUGAACCGGUGAGUUUUUGAUUCCAGCGUUAGUUUAACCAAGAUUAACUUGGGGAGACGAAGUGAAAGCGUGCCCUAACUGGGCGAUUUAGUUGGAAUCAUUAGACCCGAAACUGGGUGAGCUAACCUUGAGCAGGGUGAGUCCUACAUAACUGUGGGAGGAGGCCCGAACCCGUAAACGUAGCAAUGUUUUGGGAUGACUUGAGGUUAGGGGCAAUAUGCCAAUCGAACCCAGAGAUAGCUGGUUCUCCCCGAAAUAUAUUAAGGUAUAGCGCUUUAUAGUAGCAACGUGGGGUAGAGCACUGAAUGGUUCGUGGCUGCGCAAGCGGUUGCAGCCUAUCAAACUCCGAAUACGCGUUGUGCAAGUAAAGUAGUCAGACUCGUCGGGCUAAGCCGAUGGGUCAAAAGGGAAACAGCCCAGAUUCCCAUUUAAGGUCUCUAAAUACAUGCUAAGUUUGAAAGGAAGUCAAAUUCCAUAGACACCCAGGAGGUUGGCUUAGAAGCAGCCAUCCUUUAAAGAAAGCGUAACAGCUCACUGGCGGACGGUGUUUGGCGCCGAAAAUUUAUCGAGGAUCAAGCAUGUUACCGAAAUUGGAAACUGCAUAUUUUAUUUAUAAUAUAUGUUUUGGUAGGGGAGCGUUCUAUUUGCAGUGAAGUCGAAUCGUAAGGUUUGGUGGAGCGAAUAGAAGUGAGAAUGCCGGUAUGAGUAGCGAUAGCACAGUGAGAAACUGUGUCACCGAAAGACCAAGGUUUCCUCCGCAAUGUAAGUCAGCGGAGGGUGAGUCGGCCCUAAGGAUGUUCCUCGUUUAAUUGGGGAGUAGUCUGAUGGAUAAGGCGUUAAUAUUCGCCUACAGUAUAUGUGUAUGUAAGGGGAUGACGGAGUCGGAAGAAUCAAGCCAAUCGCAAGAUUGGUAUAAGCAGUAAGACAGUGGUGGUUGGCAAAUCCGCUACCGCGUUUAAUCGAGCUGUGAUGUAAAGUUCCUUUCGCAAGAGAGGCACAAUUUGAUCAAUUUCAGUUUCCAGGAAAAGUCUCAUUACGCUCGCAAGAGCAAAACGCAUGUGUUACCGUACCGCAUUACCGACACAGGUGGUCAGGUCGAGUAGACCAAGGUGAUCGGGAGAAAUACGUUCCAGGAACUCGGCAAAAAAGCUAGGCGUAACCUAUGGGAGAUGCCUUGCCACAGCAAUGUGGCUUCAACAAAAGUUUACUUAGCAACUGUUUAUCUAAAACACAGGUCCCUGCAAAACCGAAAGGUAAGGUAUAGGGGCUGACACCUGCCCAGUGCUGGUAAGUCAAAUAUUGUGAAUGAUUCACGCAAGUGAUGAGUUUGUGAUAUAAGCUCCAGUAAACGGCAGCAGUAACUAUAACUGUUCUAUGGUAGCGAAGUUCCUUGUCGGGCAAGUUCCGACCCGCACGAAAGGUAGAAUGACUGAGUAACUGUCUUGAACGUAUACCCGGCGAAAUUGAGAUGGCUGUGAAGACGCGGCCUAGUUGUACAUGGACAAAAAGACCCCGGGAGCUUUACUGUAUCUUGGCAUUCGUGAGCUUAUUUUAAUUGUUUAGC
This 2183-nucleotide ribosomal RNA is filed under the name Bacillota bacterium. RNAcentral's name for it is "partial 23S ribosomal RNA". It matches the Rfam family "Bacterial large subunit ribosomal RNA", at positions 1 to 2142 of the family's 2925-position model. Lineage: Bacteria; Bacillati; Bacillota. The record is from RNAcentral.